Ribosomal RNA from Peromyscus maniculatus bairdii (prairie deer mouse), 109 nucleotides. The record is from Ensembl. NCBI's taxonomy places the organism in Eukaryota, Metazoa, Chordata, Mammalia, Rodentia, Cricetidae.
CUCUACACUCACACCACCCUGAAGGCACUGCCCUUGCCUGACCUUGAAAGCUGAGCAGGGUGGGGCCUGAAUAGCACUGGGAUGGGAGAACGGCUAGUAUGUGAUGAGA